GACGAACGCUGGCGGCGUGCCUAAUACAUGCAAGUAGAACGCUGAAGAGAGGAGCUUGCUCUUCUUGGAUGAGUUGCGAACGGGUGAGUAACGCGUAGGUAACCUGCCUUGUAGCGGGGGAUAACUAUUGGAAACGAUAGCUAAUACCGCAUAACAAUGGAUGACACAUGUCAUUUAUUUGAAAGGGGCAAUUGCUCCACUACAAGAUGGACCUGCGUUGUAUUAGCUAGUAGGUGAGGUAAUGGCUCACCUAGGCGACGAUACAUAGCCGACCUGAGAGGGUGAUCGGCCACACUGGGACUGAGACACGGCCCAGACUCCUACGGGAGGCAGCAGUAGGGAAUCUUCGGCAAUGGGGGCAACCCUGACCGAGCAACGCCGCGGGAGGGAAGAAGGUUUUCGGAUCGUAAAGCUCUGUUGUAAGUCAAGAACGGGUGUGAGAGUGGAAAGUUCACACUGUGACGGUAGCUUACCAGAAAGGGACGGCUAACUACGUG
Molecule: ribosomal RNA, 497 nt
Filed under: uncultured bacterium
Lineage: Bacteria
Description: partial 16S ribosomal RNA
Rfam family: Bacterial small subunit ribosomal RNA
Source: RNAcentral